RNAcentral lists this ribosomal RNA (253 nucleotides) under uncultured bacterium. RNAcentral describes it as "partial 16S ribosomal RNA". It matches the Rfam family "Bacterial small subunit ribosomal RNA", at positions 524 to 776 of the family's 1533-position model. The record is from RNAcentral.
GACAGAGGCCUCGAGCGUUAGGCGGAAUCACUGGGCUUAAAGCGUGUGUAGGCGGGCCCGUAAGUGUCUUGUGAAAUCCCACGGCUCAACCGUGGAACUGCCGGGCAUACUGCGGGUCUUGGGCCAACUAGGGGCAGCCGGAACAAGCGGUGGAGCGGUGAAAUGCGUAGAUAUCGCUUGGAACGCCGAAGGUGAAAACAGGCUGCUGGGGUUGCGCCGACGCUGAGACACGAAAGCCAGGGGAGCAAACGGG